Long non-coding RNA from Triticum dicoccoides, 543 nucleotides. RefSeq lists it as uncharacterized. The transcript has 3 exons. NCBI's taxonomy places the organism in Eukaryota, Viridiplantae, Streptophyta, Magnoliopsida, Poales, Poaceae. The record is from RefSeq and is a predicted model, not a curated record.
UGUUGUUCCCCACGCACGCCGCCGCCCCACGCCGGCCAAUCCCCAUGCCUCCCACCGCCGCCCCAUGUCGUCAGGGGCUACCGCCGGUCUAUCCCACUGUCGCCCCAUGCCGCCCUGCCUCUGCAUCACCAUCCCACGCCGCCCUUCCUCUGUAGCACCGCCCCACACGAUGCCCCGUUCCCACAGCCCCGCCCAAUUCCGACAUGCCUCUCCACCGUCGGCUCCACACCCUCGGGCUCUCUCUCCGGUUGGCCGCCUCUCUCCAACCUCCCUGGCCCAACCCCCCAUCUCCAUCGUCCAGCUCAUGAAGACACACGCAGUGGCGGUGGCGGCGAAGAUUUGGAUCUGGGCCGCGUGUGGCUGGGCAAGGACAUCCCUCUCUGUCUUUCGCUGGGCAAGGGCAUCGAUGCGGCUGAGGUAGAACAGAGGACAGAUGCUGGUAACGUUGAGCUGACAAAGAGAAGUAGCAGAAUAUUUGCUAUGCCACUGUAGUGCAUAAGGCAGCGUGCUGAUGUUGCUUCAUUACUUCUCCAUAGAGCAUGG